GCCAAAAUGGCGGCUCGAUCGCGAAGUCAUUCUCGGACGUCAAUUAUAUAAUAAGUUCCAGACUUUACUGUAAUUAUAGUUUCAGUUGGCAGGUUUCAGUUCGUUUGAGCUGAUAAACCUUCAAUGUACAGUAUAUAUAGUUCAGUUGUACUGUAAUACAUGCAUCUACAUGCAUCUACAUACACCAAUUGAAAAAUGAAAUAUAAAGUCUAACAAAAGAUCAAAGAGGUAAGAUAAAACAGUCUU
Non-coding RNA from Paramuricea clavata, 246 nucleotides. The record is from the annotation of a GenBank genome assembly. NCBI's taxonomy places the organism in Eukaryota, Metazoa, Cnidaria, Anthozoa, Malacalcyonacea, Plexauridae.